AUACGUAGGGGGCGAGCGUUGUCCGGAAUGAUUGGGCGUAAAGGGCGCGUAGGCGGCUUUGCAAGUCAGUAGUGGAAGUCCAUUUUUCAAGGAUGGAAGUGCUACAGAAACUGCGGAGCUUGAGUGCAGGAGAGGUUAUCGGAAUUCCCAGUGUAGCGGUGAAAUGCGUAGAGAUUGGGAGGAACACCAGUGGCGAAGGCGACUUACUGGGCCGUAACUGACGCUGAGGCGCGAAAGCGUGGGGAGCGAACAGGAUUAGAUACCCUGGUAGUCCACACUGUAAACGAUGAAUGCUAGGUGUAGGGGGCCUGACCCCUUCUGUGCCGCAGCUAACGCAAUAAGCAAUCCACCUGGGGAGUACGGCCGCAAGGCUGAAACUCAAAGGAAUUGGCGGGG
RNAcentral lists this ribosomal RNA (396 nucleotides) under uncultured bacterium. RNAcentral's name for it is "partial 16S ribosomal RNA". It matches the Rfam family "Bacterial small subunit ribosomal RNA", at positions 523 to 918 of the family's 1533-position model. The record is from RNAcentral.